Molecule: ribosomal RNA, 396 nt
Filed under: uncultured bacterium
Lineage: Bacteria
Description: partial 16S ribosomal RNA
Rfam family: Bacterial small subunit ribosomal RNA
Source: RNAcentral
AUACGUAGGGGGCAAGCGUUAUCCGGAUUUACUGGGUGUAAAGGGAGCGUAGGCGGGAGUGCAAGUCAGAUGUGAAAUACAUGGGCUCAACCCAUGGGCUGCAUUUGAAACUGCAUUUCUUGAGGUACGUAGAGGUAAGCGGAAUUCCUGGUGUAGCGGUGAAAUGCGUAGAUAUCAGGAGGAACACCGGUGGCGAAGGCGGCUUACUGGACUUUUACUGACGCUGAGGCUCGAAAGCGUGGGGAGCAAACAGGAUUAGAUACCCUGGUAGUCCACGCUGUAAACGAUGAUUACUAGGUGUGGGGGGACUGACCCCUUCCGUGCCGCAGUUAACACAAUAAGUAAUCCACCUGGGGAGUACGGCCGCAAGGUUGAAACUCAAAUGAAUUGACGGGG